UAACUGAAGAGUUUGAUCAUGGCUCAGAUUGAACGCUGGCGGCAGGCUUAACACAUGCAAGUCGAGCGGGGGAAGGUAGCUUGCUACCGGACCUAGCGGCGGACGGGUGAGUAAUGCUUAGGAAUCUGCCUAUUAGUGGGGGACAACAUCUCGAAAGGGAUGCUAAUACCGCAUACGUCCUACGGGAGAAAGCAGGGGAUCUUCGGACCUUGCGCUAAUAGAUGAGCCUAAGUCGGAUUAGCUAGUUGGUGGGGUAAAGGCCUACCAAGGCGACGAUCUGUAGCGGGUCUGAGAGGAUGAUCCGCCACACUGGGACUGAGACACGGCCCAGACUCCUACGGGAGGCAGCAGUGGGGAAUAUUGGACAAUGGGGGGAACCCUGAUCCAG
RNAcentral lists this ribosomal RNA (388 nucleotides) under Acinetobacter baumannii. RNAcentral describes it as "bacterial SSU rRNA". It matches the Rfam family "Bacterial small subunit ribosomal RNA", at positions 1 to 391 of the family's 1533-position model. Lineage: Bacteria; Pseudomonadati; Pseudomonadota; Gammaproteobacteria; Moraxellales; Moraxellaceae. The record is from RNAcentral.